Molecule: ribosomal RNA, 109 nt
Filed under: Caerostris extrusa
Lineage: Eukaryota; Metazoa; Arthropoda; Arachnida; Araneae; Araneidae
Source: RNAcentral
CGGCCAUACCAUGCUGAAUAUACCGGUUCUCGUUAGAUCACCGAAGUCAAGCAUCAUUGGGCGCGGUCAGUACUUGGUGGGUGACCACCUGGGAACACCGCGUGCCGUU